This 132-nucleotide non-coding RNA is filed under the name Schistosoma mansoni. The record is from RNAcentral. Lineage: Eukaryota; Metazoa; Platyhelminthes; Trematoda; Strigeidida; Schistosomatidae.
CCCGACUGUUGCUGCUACCUUGAAGUGGUGGUCAAGCUUGCUUACUGUGAUGAGCCAAUCGAGUUACAGUCGUUCCUCAAGGUUCUAUCAUCCCAAGCAGAUUGGUUGAAGAACAGUAAGACUAAAAGCAGC